This 109-nucleotide non-coding RNA is filed under the name uncultured eukaryote. The record is from RNAcentral.
ACGGCCGUCGGUCCCGGCCGGUUCCAGGGACACGGUCUGGUGGAGGGACAGCCGGAGUGACUUUACUCCCACGGUUGUCUCCUGGUUCUGACCAGGCCCGAAAGGAAGC